UUCCAGAGGCACUUUCUCUGCUGGAUAUAUUUGGAGAACAAUCCUCUUGAACAGCAGAACAUAUGCUCAUACACUAGACAGGACGUAUACAACACACGUACACAAAUCAAUCGAUAGUAUUGCCAACAAACAACAACGACGGUCGAAAGAAUGCACUGGUGAGUUUUGGGAGUUUGGAAGAAUCAUCAUCAUGUCUUCUUAUAAGCUAUAAAUACGUUUGCUCUUUGUCUGGUGUUGGCUAGUUGAGUUGUGAAUGAAAAAGGUUCACGAACAGUAGUUUGGAAGUUAGUAAUGUAACAAUAAAUAUGUAUUGUAUUGUUAAGGUUCUGGAUACUGUAUGGUUAUGUUAUAUGGAGAUGAACUUGUGUUCAUCCUAAAGUUGUAUUUUGAUCUCUUCUGAUGUUUCAAAAAGGAUCAACUAAAUCCUUGUUUCACGACACUUCUGAACUGGAA
Molecule: unclassified non-coding RNA, 453 nt
Filed under: Hevea brasiliensis (rubber tree)
Lineage: Eukaryota; Viridiplantae; Streptophyta; Magnoliopsida; Malpighiales; Euphorbiaceae
Source: RNAcentral